AGCAGGCACGGAAGCCCUCGUGGGAGCCGGGAGUUCCAUGGCGAGGCCCCCCGCUGCUGCCCCAAGAAACGCUUGGGUUUGAGAUCUCAGGAAACACGGAGAGCCCCCACUGCGAUGGUGACGGCCCUGGAGUGGGUGGUGCUAAGGAAAGGGCAGCACACCCUUGAGGGCGGGAAGUGAAUGGGGUGACAAAAGAGAGGGCAAAUGGAUAAAUCACAUUCCACUCAACCGCCUCAGUCUGAAGAUGACAUACAUAAUUUCUGCUUACAUCCCAUUCAUAAGAACUAGUCCCAAGGACCUAUCUCAAGAAGAAGAGAACAUGGAUAUUGUUGCAAAGUAUUCUGAUAUCUACCAUACACACACGUUAAAUCAAGUUUAGCCUAAAGCUGCCUCCUUACAUAUUCUAAAUUUAGCCUAAAGGUUUCUCCCUAUAUGGUGAGCUAUACAUUAAAUGGAGGUAUAAACAGACUGUAACCUAUUUCUGUGACAAUCAUUGAGUUUUGGCCAAUCAAAGGGGGCCAACUGUUCAAGCCAUGUUCAAAUAAGGUAAAUGCCAAGAUGUAACCAAUCCAGCUGUUUCUGCACCUCACUUCUGUUUUCUGUGUGUCACUUUCCUUUUUCUGACCAUAACUUUUCCACCAGAUGGCUGCGUUGGAGUCUCUGAGCCUACUCUGGCUUGGGAGGCUGCCCAAUUUGCAAAUCAUUCUUUGUUCAACUAAACCGUGUUAAAUUUAAUUUGUCUAAGUUUUUUCUUUUAGCACACAUGUGCCAGCAAUACAAAGUUUGAGAAGAUACUAAACUAUUUGUUUCAGGGUGAGAAAUGCCAUGUCUCACUCCUUGAUGUACUCCCCCAGAAGAAUCCGCCCACUCAUACCAUACCCAGUCAGGAAUAAGCAAAAUAUGGCCUUGGGAAUUAACUUCCUAUUUCCAGCAUUUGUUUAAACUAAAGAAUCUUGGU
This 958-nucleotide long non-coding RNA is filed under the name Homo sapiens (human). RNAcentral describes it as "non-protein coding lnc-IYD-4:1". Lineage: Eukaryota; Metazoa; Chordata; Mammalia; Primates; Hominidae. The record is from RNAcentral.